Synchiropus splendidus (mandarinfish) is the source of this 2544-nucleotide RNA transcript. It is a transcript of the gene named olfactory receptor 1500-like, with no coding region annotated. NCBI's taxonomy places the organism in Eukaryota, Metazoa, Chordata, Actinopteri, Syngnathiformes, Callionymidae. The record is from RefSeq and is a predicted model, not a curated record. The transcript is spliced from 3 exons.
AGCUCCUCGCCAGAGCUCCAGCCACCCUCGCUCCGUCGCAGGAGCUCCAGUCUUCAGAUGGAGUUCUUCAACUCUGCUGCGGGCAGAAACAUCACCUACGUGCGCCCGGCACACUUUACCAUCGGUGGCCUGGUAGGAAUCCCCAAUAUCCAAUACUACUACGUCUGCCUGGUCAUCAUUUACGUGGUGUCCAUGGUGGGGAACACCUUCGUGAUGGCUUUGAUCGUCUGGGAUCACAGCCUGAGAAACCCCAAGUACGUGGUGGUGUUCAACCUGGUGCUGUCCGACGUGCUCUUGAGCACCACGCUGGUGCCCAAGCUGCUGGACACUUUUCUCUUCGACCGCCACGACAUCUCCUACAGCAGCUGCCUGACCUACAUGUUCUUCAUGUUCGUCUUCACGUCCAUGCAGUCCUUGAACCUGGUGCUCCUGGCCUUCGACCGGCUGGUGGCCAUCAUGUUCCCGCUGCAGUACCCGGUCAGGAUCACCCACCGGGCCAUGCGCAGGCUGGUCCUGCUGAUGUGGCUCCUGUCCGCCACCCUCACGCUGACUGCGGUGGGGUUCAUCACCAGACUGUCCAUCUGCAGGUCCGUGGUGAUCAGGAGCUACUUCUGUGACCACGGACCCGUGUACCGGCUGGCCUGCAACGACUACACGCCCAGCAGGGUGAUCGCGAACGUCUGCUCGGCCCUGAUUCUCUGGAUUCCUCUGGUCUUCAUCCUCAUCACGUACUGCUUCAUCGCCAGGGCUUUGAUCAAAAUCUCCACGCUCCGAGAGCGAGUGAAGGGUCUGAAGACGUGCUCGGCUCACCUCACCCUGGUCUCCAUCUACUACCUGCCCGUCAUAUUCAUCUACCGCUUCGCUCCCGUGACUCAUCCGAACAUCCGGAUCAUCAACCUGUCUCUGACUUCCAUCCUGCCCCCCAUGCUGAACCCCAUCAUUUAUGUUCUGCAGACGCAGGAGAUCCAAGUGACUCUGAAGAGGCUGCGGAGAGUCGGCGGGCGCCGCCCGCUCCAGGUCAGAAAACAAGUCGUCAAGCCCAGCGAGGAUGGAAGGGACUCUUCCCCGCCUCACUGACACCAGAGAGUCAAAGACACACGCCACUUUCCUGUGAAGCAACAUGUGAAGGCAACACGCUCCUGUCUCUCCACAUCUCAAACCCAAGACCUCUGCCUUACCACAGCCCUCUUUCAUGUCUGUGUGACUCGAGUGUUUAGCUUAUAUGAAACUAAAAUCUGACAGGAAUCACUCACAGUUCCCUCUCUCAAACGUCGGGCGGACGAUCCCACAAUACUAUUCUGAACAUCACUGACAAGGUUUAAUUUAAUUCAGGUUUAAUUUAAUUCAGUUCUGAGACAAAUGUAAGGAUGUAUUUCCAUGAAAACGCUUGCAGGACAGAGAGUGAAACUCAAACACAGGUGCGCUUCAGUCUCACACCUGCUCCAGGAACCGUCAGUCUCACGUCUCAACUCGGCUGGAGACCUGCUCCGCUGGGUCGGAGUGGCGGGCUGACUCGGACUGCUUGAUCAGCUGCUGGCGACUCUUCUGGAAGCUGCUCAUGCAGUCCUUGAAGGCUUGCACGUGGCUCUGGCACAGGCGCCAGUCCUGCUGCUCCGCCAUACACUCCUGCAGGGCGUAGUGAAGCUGGGCGCAGCCGGUGCGAGAGAUCAUCCUGUCCAGCGGGUCGUCUUGCUCCUCGCUCCUGCUGCGGUCAUGAGAGGCCAUGGAGGCGAGUCCCACUGUCGGCAGGUGAAAGAAAGGUCACAGCUCUGCGUCGACACCACUGUCGCCAUCAUUGGGAAGACACGGAGAUACACAGGCUGCUGUUUGAAAACUAACAACACCGCGCUGGCCCUUCAGUCCACACGCUAACGAGGUUUCUCCCCACGAUUUCUCGGAUACAGCAGACAUUAUUUUGUGUAUUAUCAGAGAGACUGAACGCUCUAAUGUGAAACUCUGUCACGUGGAAACGUCUCAGCCACACGACCGCGACAGAUACAUGAUUAAACGUCCAGAUAUCGCGACGAUAAUGAAACACAAAUAUCCACGUUGAGCUCUAACAACAUUACAAAGCUCUUACCUUUAUCACACGUCUGUUUUGCCGUGAUUUCGUGUCAUAACGUGAGGAGGGUCAGUCGGAACCAUUUCAAUGUAGCACCAUUGUGCAGCUGACAAAUAGUUCCGUCUAGAAAAAGUUCCCCCAGCGCGAGUGAAAACGCGUCUCGAUGAUCUACUGCAGUGUGACGCGGCGAAACCGGACCUGAUCCAAUUAUAUUCAGCCUUCAUAUAUGUUCCUCCAUGUGUUAUGAGCCAGAAUGAAAGGUCACAGUGACCCCAGAACAAAAGGCGACCCCCGCUGCUCCUUGGAUCCUGGGAAUCCUGAGCCCCGAUUAGACGUCAUCAUCAAAGAGUUCUGGGUCGGGUUGCGGAGGCAGCAUUCGGAGCAGGGAAGCCCAAACUUCCUGGUCCGCACAAACCUCCUACAGCUCCUCCCGGGGGAUCCCGAGGCGUUCCCAGGCCAGAGCGGAGACAUCAUCUCUCCAG